AACACCACCAUUGCCAUCACCACCAACACCAACACCACCAUCGCCAUCAUCACAUGCAUCUACUUCUCCACCAUCGUCGCCAUCUCCACCACAAUCAUCACCACCGCCACCCUCUCACCCAACAUUGCCUCCGAGACGAAAGGGUCAUCAUAAGCCAGGUCAGGGUCAUCAUAAGAAAGGUGGCAGCCAUCAUGAGAAAGGUCAGGGUGAUAAUGGCUCAGUGAAAGGCCAUCAUGGGCCAGGCCAAGGACAUCAUCUUAGUGGCGGUCACCACCGUAAUCCUCAUCCACCACCUCCGCCGCUAAUAACAAAAUACCAAUCAAUACAACACUAAAAUACCUCACCGCAUUUUCCGCUGACUCCACUCCGAUCAUCUCUCUCCAAGGAAAAAUCAUCAACUCUACCUUGGAAUGUUAACUCCUUUUCUUAAAUAGUGUUCAACGUUCUCUUUCAUUCAUGCUUAGUAUCAUAAUAUUUUUAUGUACAACUGAGGGAUGAAAAAGAGGAAAAGAAAGGGUUGCCAAUAUGUUAAUGAGAAGUACAAAUUUUUCCAA
This is a long non-coding RNA of Prunus dulcis (almond), 554 nucleotides long. RefSeq lists it as uncharacterized. The record is from RefSeq and is a predicted model, not a curated record. NCBI's taxonomy places the organism in Eukaryota, Viridiplantae, Streptophyta, Magnoliopsida, Rosales, Rosaceae. The transcript is spliced from 2 exons.